Molecule: ribosomal RNA, 483 nt
Filed under: uncultured bacterium
Lineage: Bacteria
Description: partial 16S ribosomal RNA
Rfam family: Bacterial small subunit ribosomal RNA
Source: RNAcentral
GACGAACGCUGGCGGCGUGCUUAACACAUGCAAGUCGAACGAUGAUGCCCAGCUUGCUGGGUGGAUUAGUGGCGAACGGGUGAGUAACACGUGAGUAACCUGCCCCUGACUCUGGGAUAAGCGUUGGAAACGACGUCUAAUACUGGAUAUGACUACCGGCCGCAUGGUCUGGUGGUGGAAAGAUUUUUUGGUUGGGGAUGGACUCGCGGCCUAUCAGCUUGUUGGUGAGGUAAUGGCUCACCAAGGCGACGACGGGUAGCCGGCCUGAGAGGGUGACCGGCCACACUGGGACUGAGACACGGCCCAGACUCCUACGGGAGGCAGCAGUGGGGAAUAUUGCACAAUGGGCGAAAGCCUGAUGCAGCAACGCCGCGUGAGGGAUGACGGCCUUCGGGUUGUAAACCUCUUUUAGUAGGGAAGAAGCGAGAGUGACGGUACCUGCAGAAAAAGCACCGGCUAACUACGUGCCAGCCGCCGCAGUAA